GAUGAAGAACGUAGCGAAAUGCGAUAAGUAAUGUGAAUUGCAGAAUUCAGUGAAUCAUCGAAUCUUUGAACGCACAUUGCGCCCCCUGGUAUUCCGGGGGGCAUGCCUGUUCGAGCGUCAUUUCACCACUCAAGCCUCGCUUGGUAUUGGGCAACGCGGUCCGCCGCGUGCCUCAAAUCGACCGGCUGGGUCUUCUGCCCCCUAAGCGUUGUGGAAACUAUUCGCUAAAGGGUGUUCGGGAGGCUACGCCGUAAAACAACCCCAUUUCUAAGGUUGACCUCGGAUCAGGUAGGGAUACCCGCUGAACUUAAGCAUAUCAAUAAGCGGAGGA
RNAcentral lists this unclassified non-coding RNA (331 nucleotides) under soil metagenome. Its description in RNAcentral is "partial contains 5.8S ribosomal RNA, internal transcribed spacer 2, and large subunit ribosomal RNA". The stretch from base 1 to 120 matches the Rfam family "5.8S ribosomal RNA", at positions 35 to 154 of the family's 154-position model. The record is from RNAcentral.